Sorex araneus (European shrew) is the source of this 103-nucleotide small nuclear RNA. The record is from RefSeq and is a predicted model, not a curated record. NCBI's taxonomy places the organism in Eukaryota, Metazoa, Chordata, Mammalia, Eulipotyphla, Soricidae.
GUACUCACUUCAGCAGCACAUAUACUAAAAUUGGAAUGAUAGAAGACUAGCAUGACCCCUGCACAAGGAUGAAAUUAGGGAGCUUGCAAUCUACAGCUUUGUU